GUAGGUUGUUUGUUAAGACUGCUGGUGAAAUCCCUAGACUCAAUCUAGGAACUGCUGUGGUGACUAACAAACUCGAGUAUGGAAGAGGGGGAUAGAAUUCCAGGAGUAGCGGUGAAAUGCGUAGAUAUCUGGAGGAAUACCAAAGGCGAAGGCAGUCCCCUGGUCCGAUACUGACACUGAGGUACGAAAGCGUGGGGAGCAAACAGGAUUAGAUACCCUGGUAGUCCACGCCCUAAACGAUGUCGAUUAGCCAUUGGAAGGACCCCUUUUCCUUUCAGUGACGUAGCUAACGCGUUAAAUCGACCGCCUGGGAAGUACGACCGCAAGGUUAAAACUCAAAGGAAUUGACGGGGACCUGAACAAGCGGUGAAUGAUGUGGAUUAAUUCGAUGCUACGCGAAGAACCUUACCUACCUUUGACAUGGCCAAAGUUCUACCGAGAGGCGGAAGUACUCGUAAGAGGAUUGGCGCACAGGUGCUGCAUGGUUGUCGUCAGUUCGUGUCGUGAGAUGUUGCGUUCAGUCCCGCAACGAACGCAACCCUUAUCUUUAAUUGCUCCUAUUUUAACAGGCACUUUAAAGAAACUGCCAAUGAUAAGUUGGAGGAAGGUGGGGAUCACGUCAAGUCCGCAUGGCCUUUAUAGGUAGGGCUUCACGCGUCAUACAAUGGUUAGAACAAAGAGCUGCAAAUUCGUAAGAAGGAGCCAAUCUCACAAACCUAACCUCAGUUCGAAUUGCGGUCUGCAACUCGAGCGCAUGAAGCCGGAAUCGCUAGUAAUCGUGGAUCAGAAUGCCACGGUGAAUACGUUCUUAGGUCUUGUACACACCGCCCGUCACACCAUGGAAGCGAGUCUUACCAGAAAUGGUUAACCUAAUCCAUAUAUCAGGAAACCGGGA
This 895-nucleotide ribosomal RNA is filed under the name uncultured bacterium. RNAcentral describes it as "bacterial SSU rRNA". It matches the Rfam family "Bacterial small subunit ribosomal RNA", at positions 571 to 1459 of the family's 1533-position model. The record is from RNAcentral.